UACGUAGGGUGCGAGCGUUAAUCGGAAUUACUGGGCGUAAAGCGUGCGCAGGCGGCCGCUCAAGCCAGGCGUGAAAGCCCCGGGCUCAACCUGGGAAUGGCGCUUGGGACUGAGUGGCUGGAGUGCGGAAGAGGGAGCUGGAAUUCCUGGUGUAGCAGUGAAAUGCGUAGAGAUCAGGAGGAACACCGAUGGCGAAGGCAGGCUCCUGGGCUAGCACUGACGCUCAUGCACGAAAGCGUGGGGAGCAAACAGG
This 253-nucleotide ribosomal RNA is filed under the name uncultured bacterium. RNAcentral describes it as "partial 16S ribosomal RNA". It matches the Rfam family "Bacterial small subunit ribosomal RNA", at positions 524 to 776 of the family's 1533-position model. The record is from RNAcentral.